This is a long non-coding RNA of Aphis gossypii (cotton aphid), 954 nucleotides long. RefSeq lists it as uncharacterized. The transcript has 3 exons. Lineage: Eukaryota; Metazoa; Arthropoda; Insecta; Hemiptera; Aphididae. The record is from RefSeq and is a predicted model, not a curated record.
AGACUCAAAAACUACUCGAUCGAUUUUAACGAAAAUUUUCAGUUUGUUCUUGAGAGUCGCCCGUGAAAAUUUAGAGAGUAGGUAGUUAAAAAUACGUCUCGUUGCAGGUUGGCUUUGAAAAAAAUUAUUUUAUAUUUUUGUUGAUUACAUAUAGUCCAUAUUAUAUAAACUGGUGUAACUACAAAUUAUAGCUGUAAACAACGUACUGCGUUUUAAAAUUGUUUGUUUACGCAGAUGAAGCUACGCGUAAACCGAUUAAAUCGCGAAUCCACUGUCAAAUUCUCCAUUUCGGUCGGAUUUGUCCAUAAAACGAGGUACACUGACACCGACAUCAGACACGUCCGCCGUAGCCGUCAACCCAGUGUUGUAGAUUAUUCGUCGCUUUUCUCCGAGAAGAGCCUGAAGACAGCUGCACUUUUUCGUCGAAAUCGCUAAAUUAUAAGUUAUUAUUCAUUGACCCAUAACUCUAACUUUUUGUUUAUUACGGUGUAUUGAUGUAGCCUAUUUCACUUAUCAAAAAUCAAAUUUGCUAGCAACGACAGUCUUGUAUCGCGGCGUAUGUUCGCUUGUGAUUAUACACCAAUAUAAUAUCGUUAUAUUUUGAUCGUAUACACUCGCCAAUCGUGACCUAUAUUUGAGCUGCCAUGUCGAUGAUAAAGUAUGUAUGAGCUGUGGUGUGUUUGUUUUCACAUGAAAUCUGAGGUCAUAAAUCAUCCCAGAAUGGGAAACUAUUCAAAGUAGAGGGCACCUACAGCUGUUGCUGGUUACUAGGUAUAACCCUAGUAAAUGAAUCAAUAAUAAUGGUAAUAAUAUUAUCAAUGUUCAUAACAAAUAAAAAUCACUUAACCAAUGUAAUCACAAUUCUUAAUAUUUCGGUAUGAACGCCAUUAAAAAUGUUCAUGAUUCAUAAGACAUACUAUACUAUUAAUUUCUUAUUAUUUUUUAUGUACCUAC